RNAcentral lists this transfer RNA (72 nucleotides) under Crossorhombus azureus (blue flounder). RNAcentral's name for it is "tRNA-Lys". It matches the Rfam family "tRNA". From Rfam's summary of the family: Transfer RNA (tRNA) molecules are approximately 80 nucleotides in length. The record is from RNAcentral. Lineage: Eukaryota; Metazoa; Chordata; Actinopteri; Pleuronectiformes; Bothidae.
GUUAAGAAGCUGAAAAGUAAAAGCGCCAGACUUUUAAUCUGGAAAUUGGUGUUUAACGUCCACCCUUUGCGA